AUACGUAGGGGGCGAGCGUUGUCCGGAAUGAUUGGGCGUAAAGGGCGCGUAGGCGGCCCGGUAAGUCUGGAGUGAAAGUCCUGUUUUUAAGAUGGGAAUUGCUUUGGAUACUGUCGGGCUUGAGUGCAGGAGAGGUAAGUGGAAUUCCCAGUGUAGCGGUGAAAUGCGUAGAGAUCGGGAGGAACACCAGUGGCGAAGGCGGGUAACUGGACUGCAACUGACGCUGAGGCGCGAAAGUGUGGGGAGCAAACAGGAUUAGAUACCCUGGUAGUCCACACUGUAAACGAUGAAUGCUAGGUGUAAGAGGUAUCGACCCCUUUUAUGCCGGAGUCAACACAAUAAGCAUUCCGCCUGGGGAGUACGGCCGCAAGGUUGAAACUCAAAGGAAUUGACGGGG
Molecule: ribosomal RNA, 397 nt
Filed under: uncultured bacterium
Lineage: Bacteria
Description: partial 16S ribosomal RNA
Rfam family: Bacterial small subunit ribosomal RNA
Source: RNAcentral